This 436-nucleotide long non-coding RNA is filed under the name Mytilus galloprovincialis (Mediterranean mussel). Lineage: Eukaryota; Metazoa; Mollusca; Bivalvia; Mytilida; Mytilidae. The record is from RNAcentral.
ACCCCGAUUUGGACCAACUUGAAAACUGGGCCAAUAAUAAAAAAUCUAAGUACAUUUUUAGAUUCAGCAUAUCAAAGAACCCCAAGGAUUCAAUUUUUGUUAAAAUCAAACUAAGUUUAAUUUUGGACCCUUUGGGCCCUUUAUUCCUAAACUGUUGGGACCAAAACUCCCAAAAUCAAUACCAACCUUCCUUUUCUUGUCAUAAACAUUGUGUUCAAAUUUCAUUGAUUUCUAUUUACUUAAACUAAAGUUAUUGUGCGAAAACCAAGAAUAAUGCUUAUUUGGGCCCUUUUUUGGCCCCUAAUUCCUAAACUGUUGGAACCAAAACUCUCAAAAUCAAUCCCAACCUUUCUUUUGUGGUCAUAAACCUUGUGUCAAAAUUUCAUAGAUUUCUAUUAACUUAAACUAAAGUUAUAGUGCGAAAACCAAGAAAAUG